Molecule: ribosomal RNA, 520 nt
Filed under: uncultured bacterium
Lineage: Bacteria
Description: partial 16S ribosomal RNA
Rfam family: Bacterial small subunit ribosomal RNA
Source: RNAcentral
GACGAACGCUGGCGGCGUGCCUAAUACAUGCAAGUCGAACGCACUCUCGUUUAGAUUGAAGGAGUUUGAUCCUGAUUGAUAAACAUGUGAGUGAGUGGCGGACGGGUUAGUAACACGUGGGUAACCUGCCCUAAAGUGGGGGAUAACAUUUGGAAACAGAUUCUAAUACCGCAUAAAACCUAACACCGCAUGGUGUGGUGUUGAAAGAUGGUUUCGGCUAUCACUUUAGGAUGGACCCGCGGUGCAUUAGUUAGUUGGUGAGGUAAAGGCUCACCAAGACCGUGAUGCAUAGCCGACCUGAGAGGGUAAUCGGCCACACUGGGACUGAGACACGGCCCAGACUCCUACGGGAGGCAGCAGUAGGGAAUCUUCCACAAUGGACGAAAGUCUGAUGGAGCAACGCCGCGUGAGUGAAGAAGGUUUUCGGAUCGUAAAACUCUGUUGUUGGAGAAGAAUGUAUCUGAUAGUAACUGAUCAGGUAGUGACGGUAUCCAAACAGAAAGCAACGGCUAACUACAUG